This is a long non-coding RNA of Papaver somniferum (opium poppy), 1106 nucleotides long. RefSeq lists it as uncharacterized. The record is from RefSeq and is a predicted model, not a curated record. The transcript is spliced from 2 exons. NCBI's taxonomy places the organism in Eukaryota, Viridiplantae, Streptophyta, Magnoliopsida, Ranunculales, Papaveraceae.
CCUUUUGGCUAAGAUCAAGUGUAGUAUCUGUUCUUAUCAGUUUAAUAUCUGAUAUGUGAGCCAUCGGUUCACACGAUAUUAAAUUAAUUUUUUUCACGGGGGAGUUCCCGUCACAGCAGCUUGCUGCUGGGGUUCUCACGCGUCGCCCUUGCGUUGCACUACUGCAAUGGCCUGGCGCACCCCCACCAAAUCUAAUCCUUAAAACAUUUCAGUUCUUGGUCUACCUGUAAGGCCGCUUACUGUUGGGUAGAGGAGGUGGUUAAUUUUACGUAUAAGUUAACACUAGUCUGCUGGGGUGUUUCAGUCUCAACCCUCAUAUCUCAAACUUGUCUGCACUUCAAAGUAUGAAAUCCAGUUUUUGCUCAAUCUAGUACAAGAAAAAAAGAAAGUUCAAGUUCAUUCAAAUGAUGAUAAGUUAGGGUAUGUUUGUGCGAACCGGAGCCUGUGACCAGUUGAUCUCAAUCCAGGUUCAGAUUAAACCAAGAGUUGGACUGCUGCAAAGGCCUGGAGCACCCCUAUCAAAACUAACAACAACAAAAAUUUCAGUUCUUGCUUAUGCUGGAGAGGAAACAAAUUGAAACGAUCUGAACAACCAAGAAAAGAUCCUCUGAAGAAACGAAGGUUCAACCAACAAAUAUUCUUUAGUUCAUUCAACUGAUAAAAAAAGCUCUAUACAAUAAUGGAGAAACCAAAAGCUUACAAGAAGUGAAGUAAGAUGCGCAUGAAAAUUCUUUAGAUCCAUGAAUUUACAAAAUUCUUGUUAGGAUGAAGAUUGUUAAUAUCAUAAUUGUCCCUGCCUUAUUACAUUGAAUGUUGUGCCUAGUGGUUGUUGUUUUUUUGUAUGGGGGAGUCCCCAUCACAGUUGCUUGCUACUGGGGUUCUUAUGCGUCGCCUUUACGUUGCACUACUGCAAAGGCCUGGAGCACCCCUACCAAAACGAAGAAAAACUUUCAGGCUUCCGGAGCUAAGAAAACAUUCAGUUAUAGCUUAUGAUUCAUUUGUAAAUGUUUGUUGUAUCAGAGUUGAAACAAGUCCUGAUCUGAUCGAUGCUUAAGUAAGCUAUCUUUAACAUAUCGAAUACCAAUUUUUCCUUACCAUUUGAGUCU